AUGGUGGGUUUGGAGAGUAGUGAUAGUUUCUCCCAUCUCGUUGAAAGAGUUGUGAAUCGACUUAAAGGUUGGAAGGAAAAGUUGGGUCCUUUAAGUGGAAAGGAAAUUCUUUUGAAAGCAAUUAUCUAAUCUAUCCCAGUUUAUGACAUGACUAUUUUUAAAAUUCCAAAUAAAUUAUGUAAAGAAAUCACAGAUGCAAUGGCGGCUUUUUGAUAGGGGGACACAGAGGAAGAGAAGAAAUUUCACUGACUAGCUUGGUGGAGGAUGUGACUUCCAAAAGAUAAAGGAGGUAUGGGGUUCAAGGACCUCCAUGCUUUUAACUUAGCUAUGCUAGCCAAACAAAGUUGGUGAAUGAUAACCCAUCUGGACACUUUGUGCUACUGUCUUAAGAGCAAAAUAUUUUCCUGGGAGAAAUAUUUUUAA
Molecule: ribosomal RNA, 423 nt
Filed under: Triticum aestivum (bread wheat)
Lineage: Eukaryota; Viridiplantae; Streptophyta; Magnoliopsida; Poales; Poaceae
Description: partial small subunit ribosomal RNA
Source: RNAcentral